CAGCGCCACGAGUGGAGAUCACUAUUAUUGGGUCUAAAGAGUUCGUAGCUGGUUUUGUAAGUUUUUUGUGAAAUUUCUUUGGCUUAACCAGGAAAUUGCAAGAAAUACUGCAAGACUUGAGACCGGGAAGGAUAAGAAGUAUUGUUUGGGUAGCGGUUAAAUGUUUUAAUCCUUACAAGACUAACUAAGGCGAAGGCAUCUUAUUAGAACGGAUCUGACAGUGAGGAACGAAAGCUGGGGGAGCGAACCGGAUUAGAGACCCGAGUAGUCC
Molecule: ribosomal RNA, 271 nt
Filed under: uncultured archaeon
Lineage: Archaea
Description: partial 16S ribosomal RNA
Rfam family: Archaeal small subunit ribosomal RNA
Source: RNAcentral